Non-coding RNA from Acanthosepion pharaonis, 118 nucleotides. The record is from the annotation of a GenBank genome assembly. Lineage: Eukaryota; Metazoa; Mollusca; Cephalopoda; Sepiida; Sepiidae.
UACAGCCAUAUCACCUUGAAACACCUGUUCCUAUACAAUCACUGAAGUUAAGCAAUAUUAAGUUAAGCUUGGUCAGUACCUAGAUGGGUGACUACUUGGGAAUACCAGGUGAUGUAAG